GGAAACUGCUCCAAAAUUCCCAAGUUCUGCCCCUGAUUUGUUAGGUGUUCUCUCUGGCCUCACUCUCCCCUGACUACAGGAGGUGGAAGGGGGCUCCAAGGGGGAAGACCAGCCCUGCGGAGAGCCCUGAUACUAUUUCAUUGUACCAUCGUUUUUACAGAUAAAAGAAACUGCAGCAGAGAGAAUUAAGUGCCCAGGGGGGGAUUUGAACCCAGGAUGCCUGGCUUCCAAGACCGUGAUGUUCACCGCAGGUGCUGUUUGACAUAAAUCAGGCUGCUGGAUUCCGGGUUCCCUUUCUUGGGAGCAGCGCUGGAGAAGAGGGUCAGCGUCUGGCGGAGCAGGGCUGGCUUGCCACACUGACUGGAGAGGCCUGCCCACUCUGUCCUCCUGUUUCCUCAGCUGUGAAAUGGAAGCUGUAUCCAUGCCUUGGAGAAAAUCAGAAUAUGUGGAGAAAGAAAGAAAGAAAGAAAGAAAGAAAGAAAGAAAGAAAGAAAGAAAGAAAGAAAGAAAGAAAGAAAGAAAGAGAGAGAGAGAAAGAAAGAAAGAAAGAAAGAAAGAAAGAAAAGAAAGAAAAAGAAAGAAAGAAAGGAAAGAAAGAAAGAAAGGAAAGAAAGAAAGAAAGAAAGAAAGAAAGAAAGAAAGAAAGGAAAAUAAAGCAGCAUCUUCCCGCCACCCAGAGAUGAUUGCUGUUGACACUUGAACACGGAUUUCAGAUUUUUUUUUAAUGCUUAUUAUGUCCUUUUUUGUAACGCAAAUUAUAUCUACUGCGCAUCUAUUUUGACAUCUAUUUUGUUUCCACAGUUAACAACCUUCCCCUUCCCAUUUUGGUCAGUGGUCCUCUCAUCUAAUACCCUGCCUGCCUCCCACCUUUUUGUCAUUUAAAGGCGGACCAGGUGAGACAAACAGGCGAUCUGCAUGUGAAGGCAGAGCCCCGCGCGGCGGAUGAGGCCCGCUGCGCUCCGCGCCGAGCCCUUCCUCCCCUCCGCGCCCUGCCGGCCCGGAGCUGUGGAGUUGGGGGCCCG
RNAcentral lists this long non-coding RNA (1022 nucleotides) under Ursus maritimus (polar bear). RNAcentral's name for it is "lncRNA (ENSUMAG00000000879.1)". The record is from RNAcentral. Lineage: Eukaryota; Metazoa; Chordata; Mammalia; Carnivora; Ursidae.